GAUGAACGCUGGCGGCGUGCCUAAUACAUGCAAGUCGAACGCUGGAAAUCUAGCUUGCUAGAUUGAAGGAGUGGCGAACGGGUGAGUAAUACAUAAGCAACCUACCCACGAAGACUGGGAUAAUCUCUGGAAACGGGGACUAAUACCGGAUAGGUAAUCGGAAGGCAUCUUCUGAUUAUUAAAGGUUAAAAACACUGGUGGAUGGGCUUAUGGCGCAUUAGUUAGUUGGUGAGGUAACGGCCCACCAAGACAAUGAUGCGUAGCCGGCCUGAGAGGGUGAACGGCCACAUUGGGACUGAGACACGGCCCAGACGCCUACGGGAGGCAGCAGUAGGGAAUUUUCGGCGAGGGGGGAAACCCUGACCGAGCAACGCCGCGUGAGUGAUGACGGCCUUCGGGUUGUAAAGCUCUGUUGUAAGGGAAGAACGGUAGAUAGAGAAUAUCUAAAUGACGGUACCUUACCAGAAAGCCACGGCUAACUACGU
RNAcentral lists this ribosomal RNA (485 nucleotides) under uncultured bacterium. RNAcentral's name for it is "partial 16S ribosomal RNA". It matches the Rfam family "Bacterial small subunit ribosomal RNA", at positions 28 to 506 of the family's 1533-position model. The record is from RNAcentral.